RNA transcript from Trichoplusia ni (cabbage looper), 1022 nucleotides. It is a transcript of the gene named RNA-binding protein 1-like, with no coding region annotated. The transcript has 5 exons. The record is from RefSeq and is a predicted model, not a curated record. Lineage: Eukaryota; Metazoa; Arthropoda; Insecta; Lepidoptera; Noctuidae.
AAUUUUAAUUUCUUCAUUCCGGUCGCGACGUCCUCCGUUGAUUUUAGAGGCCGGAGGUGGAAAAGUGUUCAAGUUUCGUUUUGUCUAAGUACUACUAAAAGUACUUCAUCUUUUAAUUUGACCAUUUAAGUGUUGAUAUAACAAUGUCUCGCUACCGAGAAUGGGAUCUUUCGUGCAAAGUGUAUGUGGGAAAUCUUGGAACAAAUGCAUCAAAAUAUGAAAUCGAGAAAGUGUUUUCAAAAUACGGCAACAUAAGAAAUGUGUGGGUGGCUAGAAACCCGCCAGGAUUUGCGUUUGUAGAAUUUGAAGAUCCACGUGACGCCGAAGAUUCUGUGCGAGGGUUGGAUGGCACCCGCUGCUGUGGUACCCGCAUUCGUGUAGAAAUGUCAAAUGGUCGCACCAGGAGAGAUCGCCGGUACUCCAGGUCCAUUUUAUCAACCAACCACCAACACACCAACGACCUCACCACAUGUCUUCACCACAACUACGGCUCGUUAACCAAUAUGACAUCAAACAACUUCUGCGAUCGGCUCUCCAAACUUCUGCGCGCAGCCGAAGUCAACAUCUGCGUCCCCAUAACUUACCUCCUGACCGCCAUCACCUAGCCCCCAACCGUUAAUCAAACCUGGACCUGAAUAAAAUGCAUUCUAGAGUGCCACACAGUAUAGGAACCAACAAACAUCCUGAAAGUCAUUGCAACUCCUAAUGCUUCACCGACUGCACACACUCGUCGUCACCGUGGCACCGAGCUAGAAAUACAACCUAAAGGCGACGACUUCCCCGUGUUCCGCAAUUUUUCUUGAAACUUCCGAUUAAUGCCACCGUUCGACGGAAGAUACAAUUGAAACUCGCCUCCGCCUCAGUAAUAUCCCUUCGGCCUCACAGCAGCCCCACAACGGUCGUCUUUCUUCGCAGGCUCACCAUGUCUCGAUCCCGCAGUCGCAGCCCGAGGAGGAGGUCGUACUCUCGCGGACGCUCGGGAUCCCCGCGCCGCUCGCCCUCCGUGCGCCGUCGAUCGCCAU